RNAcentral lists this ribosomal RNA (416 nucleotides) under Mycoplasma wenyonii. RNAcentral's name for it is "bacterial SSU rRNA". It matches the Rfam family "Bacterial small subunit ribosomal RNA", at positions 63 to 480 of the family's 1533-position model. The record is from RNAcentral. Lineage: Bacteria; Bacillati; Mycoplasmatota; Mollicutes; Mycoplasmatales; Mycoplasmataceae.
CGAACGAGUGGAACUUGUUCUGCUAGUGGCAAACGGGCGAGUAAUACAUAUUUAACUUACUUUUACGAGGAGGAUAGCAGUUCGAAAGGACUAUUAAUACUCCAUAGGUUUAUAAACUAAAUCAAAGAGGCUCCCUCGGGGGCCUCGCGUGAAAAUAGGAAUAUGUCCUAUUAGGUAGUUGGCGGGGUAAAGGCCCACCAAGCCAGUGAUGGGUAGCUGGACUGAGAGGUUGAACAGCCGCAAUGGGAUUGAGAUAUGGCCCAUAUUCCUACGGGAAGCAGCAGUGAGGAAUUUUUCACAAUGGACGAAAGUCUGAUGGAGCAAUACCACGUGAACGAUGAAGGUCUUCUGAUUGUAAAGUUCUUUUAUUUAGGGAAAAAAGCGCGCUAGGAAAUGAGCACGCCUUGAUGGUACUA